UACAGAGGGGGCAAGCGUUGUUCGGAAUUACUGGGCGUAAAGGGCGCGUAGGCGGCCUGUUAAGUCGAACGUGAAAUCCCUGGGCUCAACCCAGGAACUGCGUCCGAUACUGGCAGGCUUGAAUCCGGGAGAGGGAUGUGGAAUUCCAGGUGUAGCGGUGAAAUGCGUAGAUAUCAGGAAGAACACCAAUGGCGAAGGCAGCUCUCUGGGACGGUACUGACGCUGAGACGCGAAAGCGUGGGGAGCGAACAGG
RNAcentral lists this ribosomal RNA (253 nucleotides) under uncultured bacterium. RNAcentral describes it as "partial 16S ribosomal RNA". It matches the Rfam family "Bacterial small subunit ribosomal RNA", at positions 524 to 776 of the family's 1533-position model. The record is from RNAcentral.